UGCAGGACAAAGGCUGUCAAAUAACUGUGGAGUGUUUGUCUUGAUGGCAAGUACGUACUGUAAAUGAGGAACAUCGAGGUGUAAUCAAUUGCUGUUACCCAUUUAACUUUUUUUGGUGUGUCUUUGCAUAUUAUAGUAUGCACUGUAUGUUAUUCUGGGACAGAAGUUUGAAUUCACUGAACUAAACAUGAAGAACAUAGGAAAAUGGUGGUGUGCCAUCUUGCUUGAAAAUUAAACAUGGGAGAAAGAGAAAAUGAGCUGUUGUACCUGAAGAAGAAGAAGAAGAAUGCUCUGCACUCCCUGAAACCUACGGGAAGAAAAAAACUGAACUUGCAUAUGAAACAGACCAAACCCCAGUUGUGCCCUCUAUUUUUAGCAAGGUAUGCAUAAUCAAUUGCAAUGAUGAUUUAAAAUGUGCAUCAUAGAACAAUUUUAAUCCACUUAUAUUUUUCUUUAAGGAUGAGCUGUUAAAAGAUAAUGACCCUCCAUCAUGCUUUAUCUUCAAGGUAGUUGAAUGUUAUAUA
Paramisgurnus dabryanus is the source of this 524-nucleotide long non-coding RNA. RefSeq lists it as uncharacterized. NCBI's taxonomy places the organism in Eukaryota, Metazoa, Chordata, Actinopteri, Cypriniformes, Cobitidae. The record is from RefSeq and is a predicted model, not a curated record.